AGAGUUUGAUUCUGGCUCAGGAUGAACGCUAGCGACAGGCUUAACACAUGCAAGUCGAGGGGCAGCGUAAAAGUAGCAAUACUUGGUGGCGACCGGCGCACGGGUGAGUAACGCGUAUGCAACCUACCUAUCAGAGGGGAAUAACCCGGCGAAAGUCGGACUAAUACCGCAUAAAACAGGGGCACCGCAUGGUGAUAUUUGUUAAAGAAAUUCGCUGAUAGAUGGGCAUGCGUUCCAUUAGGUAGUUGGUGAGGUAACGGCUCACCAAGCCGACGAUGGAUAGGGAACUGAGAGGUUGGUCCCCCACACUGGUACUGAGACACGGACCAGACUCCUACGGGAGGCAGCAGUGAGGAAUAUUGGUCAAUGGGCGGGAGCCUGAACCAGCCAAGUCGCGUGAAGGAAGAAGGAUCUAUGGUUCGUAAACUUCUUUUGCAGGGGAAUAAAGUGCAGGACGUGUCCUGUUUUGUAUGUACCCUGAGAAUAAGGAUCGGCUAACUCCGUGCCAGCCGCGGC
Molecule: ribosomal RNA, 516 nt
Filed under: uncultured bacterium
Lineage: Bacteria
Description: bacterial SSU rRNA
Rfam family: Bacterial small subunit ribosomal RNA
Source: RNAcentral